RNAcentral lists this long non-coding RNA (463 nucleotides) under Ananas comosus (pineapple). Its description in RNAcentral is "long non-coding RNA (ACOM_LNC010882)". The record is from RNAcentral. Lineage: Eukaryota; Viridiplantae; Streptophyta; Magnoliopsida; Poales; Bromeliaceae.
CCGCAUUCUCUACUCCGCAGUGCUGCUUCACUUUUUUCUCCACCUUCGCACAGGUCCUUAAUUUAUCUGAAUUAUGAAUUAUUUUGAGUCGGCUUAUUCAAACUUGUAAAAUUAUAAUUUUACUACUUAAUCUUUUAAUUUACUUGAUUUGACCCAGCAAACGACGAUAUUUUGACUUCAAAAUUUUAAAAUAAUUACCUAUUUUAAUAAAUUCAUUUAAUUUGCAUGAAGUAUACUAAAUAAACUUAUAAAGAUAAACAAUAUAUUCAAAUUUUCAAGUCAAAAUGGCGUCGACCGACUCAAAUCAAUUAAAUUGAAAGAUUGGAUAGUCAAAUCAAAAUUGUUAUGUACUUUUUACUUUUUAUAUUCAACACUCCUCUCGCAUCUAGCUCGAAGAGCCUGAUGCGUACCCAAGACGUAUUCUUAUAUCAUGUUAAAUAAUGUGAAAUAAAGUCGCAUAAAC